This 497-nucleotide ribosomal RNA is filed under the name uncultured bacterium. RNAcentral's name for it is "partial 16S ribosomal RNA". It matches the Rfam family "Bacterial small subunit ribosomal RNA", at positions 28 to 507 of the family's 1533-position model. The record is from RNAcentral.
GAUGAACGCUGGCGGCGUGCCUAAUACAUGUAAGUCGAGCGAACGGACGAGAAGCUUGCUUCUCUGAUGUUAGCGGCGGACGGGUGAGUAACACGUGGAUAACCUACCUAUAAGACUGGGAUAACUUCGGGAAACCGGAGCUAAUACCGGAUGAUAUUUUGAACCGCAUGGUUCAAAAGUGAAAGACGGUCUUGCUGUCACUUAUAGAUGGAUCCGCGCUACAUUAGCUAGUUGGUAAGGUAACGGCUUACCAAGGCAACGAUGCAUAGCCGACCUGAGAGGGUGAUCGGCCACACUGGAACUGAGACACGGUCCAGACUCCUACGGGAGGCAGCAGUAGGGAAUCUUCCGCAAUGGGCGAAAGCCUGACGGAGCAACGCAGCGUGAGUGAUGAAGGUCUUCGGAUCGUAAAACUCUGUUAUUAGGGAAGAACAUAUGUGUAAGUAACUGUGCACAUCUUGACGGUACCUAAUCAGAAAGCCACGGCUAACUACGUG